AGCUGAUCACUGGGUGUAAAGCGUGCGCAGGCGGUUUUGUAAGGCAGAGGUGAAAUCCCCGGGCUCAACCUGGGAACUGCCUUUGUGACUGCAAGGCUGGAGUGCGGCAGAGGGGGAUGGAAUUCCGCGUGUAGCAGUGAAAUGCGUAGAUAUGCGGAGGAACGCCGAUGGCGAAGGCAAUCCCCUGGGCCUGCACUGACGCUCAUGCACGAAAGCGUGGGGAGCAAACA
Molecule: ribosomal RNA, 230 nt
Filed under: uncultured Alicycliphilus sp.
Lineage: Bacteria; Pseudomonadati; Pseudomonadota; Betaproteobacteria; Burkholderiales; Comamonadaceae
Description: partial 16S ribosomal RNA
Rfam family: Bacterial small subunit ribosomal RNA
Source: RNAcentral